Molecule: ribosomal RNA, 358 nt
Filed under: uncultured bacterium
Lineage: Bacteria
Description: bacterial SSU rRNA
Rfam family: Bacterial small subunit ribosomal RNA
Source: RNAcentral
AUUGAACGCUGGCGGCAUGCCUUACACAUGCAAGUCGAACGGCAGCACGGGGGCAACCCUGGUGGCGAGUGGCGAACGGGUGAGUAACACAUCGGAACGUGCCCAGUAGUGGGGGAUAGCUCGGCGAAAGCCGGAUUAAUACCGCAUACGACCUACGGGUGAAAGCGGGGGAUCGCAAGACCUCGCGCUAUUGGAGCGGCCGAUGUCAGAUUAGGUUGUUGGUGGGGAAAGGCCUACCAAGCCGACGAUCUGUAGCUGGUCUGAGAGGACGACCAGCCACAGUGGAACUGAGAGACGGUCCACACACCUACGGGUGGCAGCAGUCGAGGAUCUUGGACAAUGGGCGCAAGCCUGAUCC